AUGCUUAUGUGACGUGCACUCUACCAUUAUCAGAUAUUAUAGCUGAUACUAUGAUCCUAGCAGUCAAUCAACAAACAUUACUAAACUAUAGUUUGUAAACUGAUGAAUGUCCAUGUUCAGACUUAAACGUCUAGUACAAAAACAGUUUUAAUUUAUUUCUGGAUCCUGGAUGCAACUUUCACAUUUUACAAACAUACCAUAGUACAUUACUUCAUGUGCAUAUGAUGUGGGAUGCCAAAAUAUAAUGUGCUAUGUAUUUCUGAAUGGUCAAUGGUUAAUUUUAAGAUGCCAUUGCAUUGACAUUACUGUAUAUGAAUUUUUUUGUAGGUUUCUGUGUUGUGCUACUUUGAUGUGCUAACAAGUCUAAACGGUGUGGAAAAUGUUCUCUCAAGUCAAGUAUGAAACACGGGUACAUGCUAUAUCCUUCUCACCAGUAUGUGAUACUGGUGGGGGGCUGGAUUAGACGCCGGCCACUCGUCCAUGAGGGAGGAAUCGCAUCAGAAACACGGUGGUGUAAUGGUAAAGACGGCAUAGACUGGAUGGUAAGGGAUCGAGUUGUGAGGAAUUAAUGUAUCAAAGACGUUUUUUAACUACUUUAAAUUAAUGUUAAAUUGAUUAUUUCUAAUAAUUUAAUUAUCAUUAACUAGUAGUAGCUGGAGACAUGGUAGGAGUAACUGUAGAAGUGACUUUAAAUAAGCUCAAUAAAGUAACUGGAAAUACAAGGUAGGAGUACUUCCUCUGGUUUCAAGUUACUGCACGUGGUACAAAUUAGGUUUUGAAGCUUGUUUACAUUUUUUUAUAAGCUUGCUUCCAUAGUGCAUGUACAUAUUAAAUCUUUGGAUCAUAAUCUAAGUAAGUAUAAUUAUAAUAUGUAAAAGGACUCAAUGCUGUCGAACAUAGAAAUUGGAUGAGGAAAAUUCUGAGGAUCAAAAGUUAAUUGGGCUGUGUAUAGAGUUCUAUUACCUGCAUGUAAAUUAAU
Exaiptasia diaphana is the source of this 979-nucleotide long non-coding RNA. RefSeq lists it as uncharacterized. NCBI's taxonomy places the organism in Eukaryota, Metazoa, Cnidaria, Anthozoa, Actiniaria, Aiptasiidae. The record is from RefSeq and is a predicted model, not a curated record. The transcript is spliced from 3 exons.